RNAcentral lists this ribosomal RNA (634 nucleotides) under Staphylococcus aureus. RNAcentral describes it as "bacterial SSU rRNA". It matches the Rfam family "Bacterial small subunit ribosomal RNA", at positions 36 to 646 of the family's 1533-position model. Lineage: Bacteria; Bacillati; Bacillota; Bacilli; Caryophanales; Staphylococcaceae. The record is from RNAcentral.
CUUGCAUAGGGGCGUGCUAUACAUGCAGUCGAGCGAACGGACGAGAAGCUUGCUUCUCUGAUGUUAGCGGCGGACGGGUGAGUAACACGUGGAUAACCUACCUAUAAGACUGGGAUAACUUCGGGAAACCGGAGCUAAUACCGGAUAAUAUUUUGAACCGCAUGGUUCAAAAGUGAAAGACGGUCUUGCUGUCACUUAUAGAUGGAUCCGCGCUGCAUUAGCUAGUUGGUAAGGUAACGGCUUACCAAGGCAACGAUGCAUAGCCGACCUGAGAGGGUGAUCGGCCACACUGGAACUGAGACACGGUCCAGACUCCUACGGGAGGCAGCAGUAGGGAAUCUUCCGCAAUGGGCGAAAGCCUGACGGAGCAACGCCGCGUGAGUGAUGAAGGUCUUCGGAUCGUAAAACUCUGUUAUUAGGGAAGAACAUAUGUGUAAGUAACUGUGCACAUCUUGACGGUACCUAAUCAGAAAGCCACGGCUAACUACGUGCCAGCAGCCGCGGUAAUACGUAGGUGGCAAGCGUUAUCCGGAAUUAUUGGGGCGUAAAGCGCGCGUAGGCGGUUUUUUAAGUCUUGAUGUGAAAGCCCACGGCUCAACCGUGGAGGGUCCAUUGGAAACUGGGAAAACUUUGA